Molecule: long non-coding RNA, 3807 nt
Organism: Lolium rigidum
Lineage: Eukaryota; Viridiplantae; Streptophyta; Magnoliopsida; Poales; Poaceae
Exons: 4
Source: RefSeq, a predicted model, not a curated record
GCACCCCUCUCUCCUCUUCUUCUUCCCAGAGAGGCCACAGGCUAGGGUUCCUGACGGCCGGCCGCCCCCAAUAGCUCAUCCCCGGACUGUUGGCAGAUCGCUCCUAGACUCCACAGCAGCCAUAACAUGGACUCCCCUCGAGCUGAUCCGCACGGCCCCGCUGUUUUUGUAGCUUACUGAUAGAGGAAACGGGGCAGGGUCCGAUGGGGACGACAUGCACUGCAGGAGGCGGACAUAGGAGGCCUGUCUUGCGGAAUCCACGGCGGGCAGCGGCGUUUGGUUGUGCGCCAGUGGGGGCAAGCAAAACGCCGGGAGGGAAGGCGGCCAUGGCGGAAGGUAAGAGGACGAGGGAGAGUGAAGCUUGGAGGAGAGGGCCAGUGGGGAGAACGAGGAAAAGAAGCACCAGCAAAAAUGCAAGAUUGCUCGCGAGAUCAGGGCGCAGUGCUUGUGACCGCCUCCACCUCGCAUUUCAAGUUGAGCGCGGCCCUCCUUGGUCCACGGUUCUUGGUCAGCAGAUGGCAGUGUCUCCACCGCUGCUACUCCAGAGUACAACGAUGUGAGUCUAUCCAUGGUGACCUACCCACGGCUACCGUGCGAGGUCAAGGUCACGACUACAUCUUGGAGAGCAACGGCCGGCGGCCGAUGGCGAGCUCCCUCGCGAAGAAGCGGCCUGGAUAACAAGCAUGUGUGACUGGUUGGCCUUGCAGCUUCCUCUCUCAGAGUACACAAUUUUCAUGCAAGAUAUGGCAUAUGUGUGCACACAUGCAUGGUUUCUCUCCGAUGAACGUGGACACACAUGCUGGAGCUUGGCCCUGCCUCGGCCAUGCUCUUGCCGGGCUAUGCAGCAGCUGAUACGUGCGUGCCUGGUGCAGCAGUUGAUGCGCUUGAAAUUUUUGGUGGCAGUAUAACACGCAAAGACGACCAGCAGCUGGAUCAAGUGCCUUCAACGAUUGAAAUUAGGAGUUCUAUGUAAUGUUGACUCUUCAAAAGAAAAGCAGAACGUUAGAGUCGUCAAGACAGUGAAAACAAAUAUUUUUUAUAGAGUUUCUAAAUAGAAAUAGAAUCUGGAAAUUUGUGUCGUACUUUUACCGCUAGAACUUCAACACCUACUUCUACCUCCAAUGUUUAUUGUUUGCUGCCAAAUACUUCUAACGAUGUCUUGAUUUCUAAAAUUAGGUAGAAUCAUUAGCAGUCAUACUGUACUUUUCAUGCACUUUUACGUACUUUAUGCUAUUGUUUCUAAUCAAUGUUUUGAUGAAAUAUCGAAUAUCAAACUUGAGAGGUGAUGUAAAUGUUCAUUUACCCUUCUUUGCUUUAGCUUCCAUCUGUUGUUUAUAUUCUUUAUUUGCAUCUUAACUUCAGUGAAGUGAUUUGUUUUGCAGAACAUUGUGUGUACACCAGUGACCACGGGCGAUAGAACUGCAGCGGUGCCAAGAUUAAUCUCAGGGCCUGCUUCUGUUUGGUGCCUUGAAGGGUUGUAGCUAAAUUCCUGUAGAUUGUUAUCCCGGAACAUCAUUAGCAUCAGCUUUGGUGAGGUAUGAUUGUUCUGUCGAAGCGAUCUUCUAUCUUAGUGUUUAUUUUACCUCUUUCACUAAAGCCUAUAAAUCUUGAUUCAUUCCGAAAUGUUCCGUUGGCUUCAACUCGUCUCUCUAACUUAUCUUGUGUUACCGAUUUCAUUUGCAACUCAUUUCAGAAUCGCCUGGUUUGUAGGUAGCCUUCAGCAUGGUCUGAGGCGAUUCCUGCGUAGCAACUAGAGAUAAUGGUCCCAGUUUAUAGUGGUAUGUACAUGUAUCGAGUGUGUCCCCUUUUAGUCACGAUUAUCUGUUUAUUUCUGGUUUGCUAUCAGUUCUGUUCAUAGGAAUUAUCGACCUUAUUUUUAUGUCUGGUUUGCUGGUUUUUCAUUUUUUUUUAGCUUAAGUUGUUGCGUUUAUAAAGGAUACCACCAGGUUAUUUGACACCCUGUGUUGCCUGCUAUUGCUAUAUGUAUGGGUUAAUAAGAUGACAUCGAUCAUAGAGUGUAUUUUAUAUAAUGUCAUUUCGAUUAUGGAUAGAUAUAAUGAUCUGAUAGUGAUGUUUAGCCAAUAUGGAUAGAUAUAGUAAUGUUCAUCAUCAACUCCUAAUUCAAACGAAGAGUUGUAGGCUUGGUGUUAUUGUGUAACUAUGUCACCAUUGCCUUACUAAUUCUGUAUGCCCACAGAAAUCUGUAUGAUACUGUGAGUUCAAGUAGUAAUUUUGCACGUAACCCUGCUGCUGUUUUUGGUUCAGAAUACGUUAAGCCAGAAACCAUGCACCAGUCACCUUUGAACUAUACAGAUUCAAACUACUUCCUUGAACAGCUAGCUGUUCAGCAACCAAGUUAUUUUUUAGUAAUUUAUAGGUUUGACAUAGUCUUAAAAGUUUGUUCAAGUCCUAUUUAAAUUUUCAAAUAUCUCUUCUAUCUUCUAUCCUUUCUUUGGAAACUAAGGCAUAGAUCCACAUAAGCAAUACAACUAGAGCUUUUCCACCUAUAUAUUUGUGAUUACUAGCAUCAUUGGAAGAGUUUCUUUAGGCCUGUUUUUGAUUGUAGGAUAGUUGGUAAAACUUUGAAGCCGGCAUCAUUGUUUUUAAAUGAAAACAACUACUAAAGCAGAGUGGUACAAAUACCACUAAUGCAAGUCACGCUAGCUGCGAGGUCUCCUGGGCCAUCAGCCGUUGUUGUGCUGCUGGGUUGUGAACCAUAUUCAUGCAUGGGGCGAUCUAUUGGGCUGGGCACCCGUAUGCACCGGUAACUGCAUUGUGUUGUAUAUGACACAUUUGCUUGAAAUGGUAGUGCUCAUAAGGGAAGGGUGAAGGUAUUUGCAGAGACCAAAAUGUGGAUUAUGGUUACUACACGUAGUUUUUUUUUUUGCGAAAAAUUACACGUAGCUUUGAGGAAUUUAAGAAUUCAAGACAAAGUUGUUUGGACCAGAUGUCUAAUUAUAAUCCUCUUUUUGGCCUUUAUAUUCUCUAAUUUCUGAUAAAGCUAAUAGUGUAUGCUUGGGGGAUUUGCAAUUUUAUUUCGUAUGCUCCCACCUUUGAUUUUAAAAUUUGUUUGGACGGAUCAGAAGUGGAAGGAAAGUAUUGGGAACUGCCCUUUUCUUGAAUCUAAAUUAUCCUGAUAGGAAAUUAUAAGUAAAUCUUCAUCCAGACAGUUGCAUUGUUGCUUUCACUUUAACACAUUGCCCUUUUCUCCGAUAUAAAAGGAGCAUAAAAAAGCUCUUCAGAGUGCCUCAAAAUGGCUAUCUAAUCCAUAUAUGAUGUGAAAGUUAUUCUUUCGCACUUCAUGUAAACUUUGGCUGAUUUUUCUUAGAUACGCUUAUCCCGAAUAAUUGCAUCUGAAGUACACCUUUAUCCCACACAUAUUAGAUGUAUCCGUUAGCAUAUUCUGUCCUUGAAAACUAUUUCACUAUUUUGUAGGGAACUUGCAUCCAGUUCAAGAAACAUGCCAAUUGUUUAGUUAUACAUCUAAUGUGUGUUCGAUCAUUGUUAUGCUGAUAUUUCAGACUAUUACUUUAUUACUCUUCCUAAUAGGGCAUUUGAAGCCACAUGUUUGACACUAAGUGAUAGUGGAUCUUGCAAUUCAGAAAAGUAUGGGCAUGGCAAAAGGGGAAAUUCGGUGGAGCCGGCAAAUUUCUACUUUAGAAAAGCAGAGCUAGAGUAUUGUUAUAUAUAUAUAUGUAUGUAUUUAUGCAAAUACUCCUUUAUGACGUUCCUUUGGUCAUCAUUGUUACUUCUUUUGAUCCAUGUAUCAGUUAUACCCUUUGUGUAACGUGAGAAGCUGUUAGCCUA